ACACAGAGAAACCCUGUCUCAGAAAAACCAGAGGUUUAAAAAAAAAAUCCAUGCUGGGAUAUUGUUUAGUAUUGAAAAGGGAAACAUUAAGUUCACACAUGCUUUGGCAUAUAGAAAUCUUGAAACUAUGUUGCUAAGUGAAAGAAGCCAUUGAUAGGGGGCAUAUAUUUAUGGUGACAGUCAUAAUGAAGGUCCAGGAUAGGUCAAUCAAUAAUGACAGGAGAUACGUUUAGUGAUUAUCUUAGGCUAGAAGCUUUGUAAGGAAAUGGUUAGAGUACUCAUUGAUAAAUGGUUUCUCCAGGGAUUAGAAAGAUAGUAUAAAAUUGUAGAGAUGGCUCCAUGACUGUCAACAUACUGAAACUGACUGAACGCGAGAGUCAAAGGCAAGCUGAUUACUUGAGUUCCUGGACAGCUAGGGCUACACAAUGAGAGCCUGUCUGAAAUUCUUUUUAUUAAAUUAUAUUUUAUAAACAUAUAGUUGUACAUCUUAUUGUAUAAUAUGUGGACCUAUUAGUGUUGAUGGGGCUUUUUUUUUCUACCCAGUACAUAGCCUCUUAUGUGCUAGGCAAACAUUUCUCUACUAAGCUGUAUCCCUAAUCCAAAAGGUAUUUGGUUUUCUUUUAAUUAUGUGAUUUUCUUUUUUACCUGAGCUUUGCUCUCAAACCCAGUGCGUUACUUGUGCUGGGCAAGCACUGUCUGAGUAAGCUAAGCCUCUAGUCCUUCAGAACGCUUACAUUACUUAGAACAGUUGAUACGUCUAAGAACAAACCAUGCAAAGAGAUUAAUAUUUGUGUGCAUAUUUAUUCAUAAUAUUAAAGACAUAAAUGUAGACAAUGUGAGGUGUCUUAACACACUGAAGAAGUAUAUCAUGUAAAAAUGGCCUUCUUGAUAUUUUAUUUCUUCCCUUUUAUUUUUUUCAUUACCAGCUGGCUCCAGGAUCCCCACCUCCUGUAAACACACCCCUUCCCAAGCAUUGGAAUCACAGACAGCCCCCCAUACCCCGCACCAUUUGUAAUGCACUGGGUAUCCAGACUCUGGUCUACACAUACGGGUUUUUUUUUUUUUUUUUUCUAUUUUCAUCCAGCUCUGUGUUAGAAUUAGCCUUCUCACUGAAUUGUAGUCCCUGUUGGGUAAACACAUUAUACUAUUUGCAGUGGAACUUACAUGCUGAUAAGCCAGUGAGGAAGGAUCAAUACCAGAACUUUAUAGGUCGCCAGUUCUGUGCCCUGCCCCUUCAUUCCCCGGCUAUGCUGCAUGACCUGCUUGUAAGAUGAUUAAGUCUAUGGGACUUCAUGAGCCCUCUCCCACACCGUGCAAUGUGUCCCUAAAGGAACAAAAUGCUUCAUCUAUUUGUAAUUUAGUCAUUUGGCUGAAAAUGCAUUUUGCCACAGAAAUUAAUUCCUUGUACAGAUACUACUUAAUUUCCCAUGUUAUUCCACAAAUGCUUAACACUUAAUGAAGCUAAGUGGAAGCAGUCAUUAGGUAAAAAGUUUAAUGCCAAUAGUGAAUGUGAAAGCCGUUGUCUCAUUUCCUAAGGGUCCUAGGUUUUCUGUUUUGAAUGGGGCAGCAUUGUCUGUUUUGUGGAUGAGUCUGACUUCGGAGACUCACAUAGCCCCUGCACAGCCCCUGUUUGGUCCUGCUCUUUUAACUAAUUUGAACUCCAUUGAAGAGUAGAUGUCUUUUAAGUUGUUUCCUAGACUUUCCUUUUGUGGGUGAAGUGUUUUUAUUUACUUGAGUAUUUUGAAGUGUUCAUUCAAAGAACUGAGAAAGUUAUCCACUACUCUGUAGCACAGGUUGGGGAGUGUGCUCUAAGGCAGCCUUUCCUUCUGCUUACAUCUCUUUCCAUUGACUAGAUAAAUACAUAAUUUAUAUUGUGGAAACGUGGGCUUGGCCUUUUAAAGAAGCCAUUCCUUUUUAUUCCAGUGAUAAGGGAUUUAAAUUCUUCUUCUUCAGCAUCCAGCAGUGAGUUCAGAGGUGAUGAUCAUUAAUAUCUUGAUCCAUCGCUUUUCAGAAAAGAUAAGGCUUUUUUCCCGUAAUGGUUCAUUUGUCUGCUUGCUUUAUUUCCCACCAGGAGUCACAAAAUCCAUUUCCUGUGACAAUAUAAUAAUUUUCUCAACAUCUGAUUAUAGUGGCACAUACAUGCGGGUUAGAAAAGAAGGAAAAGGAAGACACUAAGAAUAAACACUGUGAUGGAAACUAUUUUUAUAGUCAUAAUGACUAAGUUAGAAGAACAAAUAUAAGUACUGGAUUACAAAAGGCUCUUGAAUAUUUUCCUAAAACAUUCCUUACAGGGACUGCAGAAAUAGCUUGGGGAGUAGCAGAGCCUGUAACCUCAGCGGUAGGGGGUAGAGAAAUGAAGCCCCACAAGCCUGUUGGCUAGAACAGUGUAGCUCCAGUGUGGUAAGAGACUGUGCUUACUCAGUAAGGAAGAGAACAAGAGGAGACACCCCUUUUCCUGCACUGACCUCUGGAUGCCCAUGCAAUGCUCACAUUUGCAUACUCACAUGCUUGUAAAACAUACAGUUACAGUUUGAUUACAUAGACUGUUUACCUAUUCACCUAUAUGGUUUAACUCUUUUUUUUUUCCUCUUCUGGUUCAGAAAUAGCAAGGAUGGAUGUUACAUGUAUUCUCUGCUAAACAAAACAGAGCAAACAAAUUCCUAAAAUCAGCGGCUCCUAACCUGAUACAUUUUGAGAUUUUAGUAAAUGACUUAUUGAUAACAAUUUAAAUGCCAUUAAUAUAUCUAAAUCGGGAUUCUGCUCAGCCGGUAAGGGUGUGUGCUAGACCACCUGAAUUUGGCCUGCCAACCUAUGUAAAGGUGAAAAGAAAGAACUGAUUCCCUUAAGUUGCUCUGUGACCUCCACAUGUGCUCUGUGGCACUCACUCCCACAGAAAUACACAC
RNAcentral lists this long non-coding RNA (2903 nucleotides) under Mus musculus (house mouse). RNAcentral's name for it is "long non-coding RNA chr14:21270454-21273357". Lineage: Eukaryota; Metazoa; Chordata; Mammalia; Rodentia; Muridae. The record is from RNAcentral.